Molecule: ribosomal RNA, 594 nt
Filed under: Hanseniaspora opuntiae
Lineage: Eukaryota; Fungi; Ascomycota; Saccharomycetes; Saccharomycodales; Saccharomycodaceae
Description: eukaryotic LSU rRNA
Rfam family: Eukaryotic large subunit ribosomal RNA
Source: RNAcentral
AGCGGAGGAAAAGAAACCAACUGGGAUUACCUUAGUAACGGCGAGUGAAGCGGUAAAAGCUCAAAUUUGAAAUCUGGUACUUUCAGUGCCCGAGUUGUAAUUUGUAGAAUUUGUCUUUGAUUAGGUCCUUGUCUAUGUUCCUUGGAACAGGACGUCAUAGAGGGUGAGAAUCCCGUUUGGCGAGGAUACCUUUUCUCUGUAAGACUUUUUCGAAGAGUCGAGUUGUUUGGGAAUGCAGCUCAAAGUGGGUGGUAAAUUCCAUCUAAAGCUAAAUAUUGGCGAGAGACCGAUAGCGAACAAGUACAGUGAUGGAAAGAUGAAAAGAACUUUGAAAAGAGAGUGAAAAAGUACGUGAAAUUGUUGAAAGGGAAGGGCAUUUGAUCAGACAUGGUGUUUUUUGCAUGCACUUGCCUCUCGUGGGCUUGGGCCUCUCAAAAAUUUCACUGGGCCAACAUCAAUUCUGGCAGUAGGAUAAAUCAUUAAGAAUGUAGCUACCUCGGUAGUGUUAUAGCUUAUUGGAAUACUGCUAGCUGGGAUUGAGGACUGCGCUUCGGCAAGGAUGUUGGCAUAAUGGUUAAAUGCCGCCCGUCUUGA